This 612-nucleotide ribosomal RNA is filed under the name uncultured beta proteobacterium. Its description in RNAcentral is "bacterial SSU rRNA". It matches the Rfam family "Bacterial small subunit ribosomal RNA", at positions 66 to 671 of the family's 1533-position model. Lineage: Bacteria; Pseudomonadati; Pseudomonadota; Betaproteobacteria. The record is from RNAcentral.
ACGGCAGCACGGGGGCAACCCUGGUGGCGAGUGGCGAACGGGUGAGUAAUGCAUCGGAACGUAUCCUUAAGUGGGGGAUAACGCAUCGAAAGAUGCGCUAAUACCGCAUAAUCUCUGAGGAGAAAAGCAGGGGAUCGCAAGACCUUGCGCUUUUGGAGCGGCCGAUGUCUGAUUAGCUAGUUGGUGAGGUAAAGGCUUACCAAGGCUUCGAUCAGUAGCUGGUCUGAGAGGACGACCAGCCACACUGGGACUGAGACACGGCCCAGACUCCUACGGGAGGCAGCAGUGGGGAAUUUUGGACAAUGGGGGCAACCCUGAUCCAGCCAUGCCGCGUGAGUGAAGAAGGCCUUCGGGUUGUAAAGCUCUUUCAGCCGGAACGAAACGGUCACGGUUAAUAACUGUGAUCACUGACGGUACCGGAAGAAGAAGCACCGGCUAACUACGCGCCAGCAGCCGCGGUAAUACGUAGGGUGCGAGCGUUAAUCGGAAUUACUGGGCGUAAAGCGUGCGCAGGCGGUUUUGUAAGUCAGAUGUGAAAUCCCCGGGCUUAACCUGGGAACUGCGUUUGAAACUACAAGGGCUAGAGUGUGGCAGAGGGGGGGUGGUACUUCC